This is a long non-coding RNA of Papaver somniferum (opium poppy), 910 nucleotides long. RefSeq lists it as uncharacterized. The record is from RefSeq and is a predicted model, not a curated record. The transcript is spliced from 5 exons. NCBI's taxonomy places the organism in Eukaryota, Viridiplantae, Streptophyta, Magnoliopsida, Ranunculales, Papaveraceae.
AUUAAUGGAAAUAUAUACAAAGUUUUUAAUCAAUGUAAUUCUUCUGAGUUUUGUGUUUGAUAUCUCUCUCUCGAUCCUCUCUUGAUCCUUGAUGGGAAAUCCAUCAACUUUCAUUUGCUAGAGAUGGUUAAAAGAAGAAAUUAAUUUCAAGUCAGAUCCGGUGUUUGGCUUCAAACAGUUCAACCUCGUUUUCUCAAAGAUCCAAUACAUCCGCUAUUUGCAGCAGGUUCAUCUAGAACUCAGCAUCCCCAUCGGCGAACAAGAUUUGUUGUUAGAGCUGAAGUCACUGACAAGGGCUUGAUAAUCUGAAACAAAAGAACCCUGUCAAGAUUCAGAUGUGCACCAUUCACAAAGAGUUGAGGCUUCAGCUUUGUCUACUGAGAUGGCAGGUUGACACCUGCAUCUCGCUGCAUAGUAUCUCCUGGAGGUGUCAAAGAUGACUGAUCCACUGCCUGCCUGGGGAGAUAGUUUACAGAGAGAAGAGUCCACAAAAGUAACAAAAUUCUGGUAAAAGUGUAAAAUCCGGUGGAGAUAAACUUGAAGUCAUGUCAGAUCAGUAACUAGAUUGCAAAAGGUGGUAGUACCUGUAAAGAAUCACCAACAUUGAUGAAGAAUGAGUUCUGAUCAGGUGGAACAGGAAUCCAGGAACCAUUUUUAUCAGCAAUUUGAAGGCCAGUGAUGUUGUUUGAUCUCAACACUGAUACUACCUGAGGGUCUGUAUGUUCUCCGAACCCGACCGUAUUACGAUGAUUAGGAGGAGGAGGACACGUAAUCCGAGAACUUCCGUAGCUAAAUUCUUCACAGAUCCUAUGUAACUCUUCACCAGAGACCUGAAAAAAUCUGGGUUUCCUCGUAAUGAAUUGAAUAAUUGAGAAGAGGAUGCAGAAUCAAGCUUUGUUGAUAAGAGGAG